GUCACUGACGAGUUUUGAUCAUGGCUCAGAAUGAACGCUGGCGGCAUGCCUAACACAUGCAAGUCGAACGAAGUCUUCGGACUUAGUGGCGCACGGGUGCGUAACGCGUGGGAAUCUGCCCUUGGGUACGGAAUAACUCAGAGAAAUUUGUGCUAAUACCGUAAUAAUGUCUUCGGACCAAAGAUUUUAUCGCCCAAGGAUGAGCCCCGCGUUAGGAUUAGGUAGUUGGUGAGGUAAAAGCUCACCAAGCCGACGAUCCUUAGCUGGUCUGAGAGGAUGAUCAGCCACACUGGGACUGAGACACGGCCCAGACUCCUACGGGAGGCAGCAGUGGGGAAUAUUGGACAAUGGGCGCAAGCCUGAUCCAGCAAUGCCGCGUGAGUGAUGAAGGCCUUAGGGUUGUAAAGCUCUUUUACCCGGGAUGAUAAUGACAGUACCGGGAGAAUUAAGCUCCGGGCUAACUUCGUG
Molecule: ribosomal RNA, 468 nt
Filed under: uncultured bacterium
Lineage: Bacteria
Description: bacterial SSU rRNA
Rfam family: Bacterial small subunit ribosomal RNA
Source: RNAcentral